AGUGAGCAUGGCCAGGGAUCGAACACGCCACCUCAGUUCCUAGUCGGGUUCAAUUCUGCUGUGCAACCACAGGAACGCCUUGAUGCUUCUUUCUAACUUUUCCCCAUCCUUUUGGGGGAACGAGAUUCUGGAAGUAGCAACGAGGAGGGACCCAGUGGUUUUCCAUCUUGACCUCAUUCUUGCUGGAUCUGGAUCUUCUCUGCAGCCCACCCCUUCCUCUGCCCUGAGCUCUCCUCAGCCCAGUGCCGGCUCCAAUCCAAGCCCAUGCAUUUCGAAAGCAGAGUCUGAUAGACUCACAGCAGCGGGAAUCUAGGGCCAGAAGCGCAGGAGCAUCUUUCUUGAGGAGAGAAAGAGCGCUGCGUGGGGUGAGCAGACUGACUGGUUUGGCAGGGAGAGGACAUCAGCCCUUGUGAGGAAAGGGCAGGCGGCCCUGAUGUCACCGGGAAUGGACGUUGUGCUGGAGCUGCCACCAGACAGCACAUGGCCCGAGGUCACACGAGUGAAGGUACUGUCCCUAGAAGAGGGAGGGGCUGUGCACUGAUCCGUCACUCAACUCUGUUGAACGGGUAUUUGUUGUGCGCCAGACACAGGACACACGCUUUCGGCAUCUGAGAAACCUCAGGGACGUCGCCAGAGACCAAACUUGUCGGCCGUGUGGAGUCUCUGUCCUGGGGGAGGGGCAGAGUGGACACUAUAUACCUCGUCAGGGAGGGACGUGUCACAUCGGAGAUGUGGCGUUUGUAAGAUGGUUUGACAGAAGAUCAGGCUGGAGUGAGUGCUCUCUAGAAGCAUCGGUCUGGCUGCUGCACAGACUCAGGAGGGGAAGGCGAGCGACACCGUCAAAGAAGGAAACAGAGCAGCGUCCAGGCUGGUGGAGAUGCUGCUGGUCGGGGGCGAGAGCAGGGAAUGGACGAGUCAGUGACUGGAGUCUCGACACGUUCUCAGGAUGGAUUUAGAGCAUUUCCUCCUGGAUCAAAUCUGGACUGUGAGAAAGCAGAAAGAAGGAUGGCACCCCAAACUUGAGACUGUGCAAGUUGGCCUGUGGAAAUGGGGAGAUUCUGGGAGUUCCCGUCGUAGCGCAGUGGUUAACGAAUC
This is a long non-coding RNA of Phacochoerus africanus (Common warthog), 1095 nucleotides long. RefSeq lists it as uncharacterized. The transcript has 2 exons. The record is from RefSeq and is a predicted model, not a curated record. Lineage: Eukaryota; Metazoa; Chordata; Mammalia; Artiodactyla; Suidae.